RNAcentral lists this long non-coding RNA (4241 nucleotides) under Carassius auratus (goldfish). RNAcentral describes it as "lncRNA (ENSCARG00000018744.1)". The record is from RNAcentral. Lineage: Eukaryota; Metazoa; Chordata; Actinopteri; Cypriniformes; Cyprinidae.
AUGCUGUUUGCCAUUGUUCAGUUUAUUGAUGAGGAGGAUCAGCCAUUUGCAGUGGUUCCGCAAGUGUGGCUCAGCGAGGGCAUGUGCUAUUGGCCCCCAUUUAACCUCCGCAAAAAAGACAAAGGCAACAAUUUAGCCAUCCGCUGCACGCCUCCACACAGCACCUGGGAGAAACAUCAUUUUAAGUUUAUGAAGGGAGCAGAAUGUUGGCAAGAGGCGAUGAGAUAUUUGGUGCGCUUCCAAACAGGUUCUAGCGUUGAAACGACGGACGAUGACAAGAAGAGAAAGAGAAAGAGAAUCUCAAAUUCCAAGUACAGACCCCAGGCCUCUUCUGAUGAAGAGGAGUCUAGUCUUCCAGAUGCACCAGCAGUGCUGUCGUUUGGACAACCUCUUUUGAGCUUUGAAAACAUUGUUCCUGGUAACAAGGUUUCAGUGCUGCCCGAUGCUCCAGAAGUUGCAUCGAUUCCAGAAAACCAGGAAAAUGUUGUGCCAUCUGUAGACUUCAGAGGUGGUAUGUAAAAUUGCUGUGAUGCUUGAUUUGUGAUCCUGCCACUAAACUAUACCCUUUGUUAGAUUUUCAAAUUUCUGUUUCCUCUUUCUCAGAACCAGGUUUCUCCCCAGAAAUUCAGACUCCACUUCACAGAGCCAAGAGUUUGAGUACAAGUAAGUGAUGUUAUUUGUGACGUUUUUUUGUCUUGGAAACUAUUGCUUAUGCAAUAACUUCAAACAUAUUUUUACGUCAAUGAUUAUCAAUAGGAGAAAGUCAUCGCUCUGUAAUUGGCCCUUGGACUCCCCUGGCAUCUCGUGUACAGCAUUAAGUUUUCAGCUAUGAAGGUAUAUUUUAGGCCUAUGUCUUAGUGUCCAGUGUUUUAAAAGUAUUGAAAAUAGUGCCUUUAGGUGUUUUUUUUUUUUUGUUGUUGUUUUGUUUUUUAAUGUAGAUUUCCAGAGACUCCAGAAUGAAAAACAAGCCGUGAUGGAGGAGAACCAAGCCCUUAGGGAGGAGAACCAAGCCCUUAGGGAGGAGAACCAGGCCCUUAGGGAGGAGAACCAAGCUCUGAGGGAGGAGAACCAAGCUCUGAGGGAAAGCACUGCACAAGCAGGUAAGAACAUGCACAAAAAAGUCAAACUUAGGAAAGAGUAUGUGAUGUAUGUACAAAAUUACCAUAUGCCUUUCAUUUUGUAGCUUCGGAUGACAGCGGCUCACUUCAAGAGCAGGUGAAGCAAGUUGGGACAAUGUUGAAGACGUUUGCUCGCACUGGGCAAUCAGGUACAACUUGCAAACAACACCUGUGGUUGUUGGUUUAAUUCCCACUGGGGCCACCUAUACAUGUAGUAGACCUAGAUAUAAAUGUCAUAGUUUAGUAGUUGAGGGACCAGGACUGACUAUUAUUUUAUUUAACCCCUGUAGGUGCAGAUCAGACCUUAAUGCUGCGACGUCUUGGAGAGUUUGGCGAUGUUGUGCGUAGCAUGGACAACAAAAUGGACACUAUGCUGCAACAUUUCAGUGCCAAUGUGUCUGUUGGAGAGUUAUCCCUGCCAGGGGAUCUGUUACUCCCCCUAGACACCCAGGAAGAUUUGGCGUUGCUUGACAACAGUUUGAGGCAGGAUAAAGAGCUCCAGGAACGAUUUGUAAGUGUGCUGAUUUAGUUUAUAACUCCAUAGGGUAAUGUAAAAAGUAGAAUUAAGAUUGUACACUGCAUAUUCUACAGUCUGAAUCCAUAGCCUGUCACAUUUUAUAUUUAUGUAUGAUAAGCUUCAGAGAAAUGUAAUUUGUAACACUUUUUUUGGAUUUUCAGCUUCGGUUUUUGGCAAUCAAAUGUGGGAGGGACCUAAAGACAACCGUCUGGCGGAUGCUUCAAAGUAUCUUCUCUAAUCACCUUUCCAUCAAUACAACCUGGACUGGAGUUGGGGAUAAAGCAUGUUUUAGAGACAUGUUCCUGAAGACCAUUGUUCAAAGUAAGUUGGAUGUAAAAAAAAAAUAUGUUUAGUAGAUGUGUAUGGCAUUAUGCCAUUCAAAUGUAAUGACAGAUCUGUAUUUUCUACAGGAGCCAUCCGGAAGAACCCGGCAACACAGGAUGCCACUGAUGAAGCCAUCCAGGUUAACGUUACGCGUUACCUGAAAGGAGCAUCUGACCGUGAAGGCGGAAAAAGGCGCCGCACAGCUGAGAGGGACCCACAGCCGACCCCUUAAACCUAGGCUGACUACUGACAUCCCAGCAUCACUGACAACUGGAACCCUUUCUUUAUCCUGCAGUCAGUAACAUCAAGACCCCUAAAGAAGCCAGAAGUGUCAGACUGCACUCCCCAAUCCACACUGUUCACUGUGGAUAUUAUCAUAGUGCUUAACUUAUUAUAUUGUUAAAUAUAGCUUGUAAAUCCUUGUGCCACAGGUCAGCAUUGCAGUUAUAUCUGUUCUACUACUUUUUUUACCUCAGUAUUUUUUAUAUAUAUUUGAAGAUGUUUAUCACAGAUACAAGAGACAUCUUGUACCCCAGGUCAGCAAUGCCAUUAUAAUGGUCUAUUCUACUCCAGAGCUUUAUUCUAAAUUAUUACCACUUAUCUUAUUGUUAGAAAUGGCUUGUAAAUGUGAUGUUAUACCUGAAUUUUUUUUGGUGUCCUGCACAUUCUUUGGUACCAGAUAUACUCAUUACUUAUGUUUACUGGUAAUUCUUUUCAUGCCAGAGCUGACCUCUUUAUAUUAUUAACAAUUAUUGUAAGUGUUAUAAUUUGCUUGUAAGCUAAGGCUGUUUUUUUUUUUAACAAUUUAAUUGGAAACCUGCAUGUGUGUGUGUGUGUGUGUGUGUAUUUAUUUUUUUUUUUUCUGUUAUUUAUAUUUCAGGGAUCUGACAUCAUGUUUCAAUGACAGUUACUGUACUUUGAAAUGUGGAAUUAAAACGUCAAAUGGAAAUUUGUCUGGUUUGAUCAAUCAUUAUUCUUGAUAAACUGCAUAAUAUAUAUAUAUAUAAUAUAUAUAUAAAUAAAUAAAUAAGCAAGCGGCGACCGAUCGCUCGAAAAUAGCGUUUGCCUCCGACGGGCCGCGGAAGGGUCGCCUUUGAUAUAACGGCGGCGGGACGGCGGUUGGCCCGCGGGCCGGCCGCGGAACGAAGGCGGUAGGAAGGCGGCUGCCGCUUCUAAAAAGCGGCUGCCGCCGGCGGUGCACCGUCAAACGUGUUUGCGAUUACGCUAUUCUGACGCUUCUACUGCCGCCGGAGCGCCGCCGGCGGUCCGCCGACUCAUUGCUAUCUGGGCUGUUGCCACACCCACCCCCCCAGUUGAACUGCUGACUAGUUAUCAACUUUUUCGUUGUUGUCAUGACCGCGCACGCACGUGCAUACCAGACCCACUGGGAAGGAACUUUUAGAUGCAUGUCUUCCAAUUCGAAAAAUGGAGAAAGUGAGCCACCGCCAUCAUCAAUUAAAAAAGCGAAGGUGUGUUCUGUUGCAAACUGUUUUUUAUUUUUAUUUAUUUAUUAUGCGCCUGCCUUUACUAACAUGCAAGUUCACAAUCCUUUCUCCCCCUUCUCGUCCCGUGAACCUCUGGAGUAGUGAGUUUAUCUUUUUUUUUUUUUUUUUUUUUUUUACUGUUCCUGUGGUGUUGAGCAGCUACAAUUCAUUUUAAUCCUAUAAUUUUAUAUUAUAAUUUAUUUAAAGUGAAUAAAUUGUAAUGCAAAAUAAAUAAAAUAGCUAAAGUAAAUCGUAAUACGUGGAAGUGCAUCUGUCAAUUCUGUCAUGAGCAUACAUCAGCAAUUACACAUGUUUAGGGGAAUAGAGCAUUAUUAAUAUACCAUGUAAGGUGGUAUGUGCUAGAAAUAGGUAAACCACUAUCAGUGAGUCUGUCCAUGGGGUGGGGGCACCGCCGCGCAAGGCAGUGUCCCACAUUGUCCCUCAGAAACAUACCCAUGGGCUUAUUAGCAGGUGGUCACCCUACACGCACAUUAUAGUAGAAGUGCAAAAAUGAAAGCGAGAAAAGUCCUCUUGUUAUUAUGUCUCAAUCCUGGGCGUCUAAACGAACAUUUCAAUCUUGGCCUGACCGCGAAUAGUUUUUUUUUUUUUUUUUUUUUUGACCCCGCUUUGCUUCACAACAGAUGAGUCAUGGCAGUGCGCAGUUAGCACGGACUGAAAUUCACUCGUUCUUGGCAGUUCUUGGACCGUUGCUUUUCCUUUUAACUACCUGUGAAAUUGCGUCGCUAUUAUAUCUGAAGAACCGACCGGUUUAUAAUUCAGAAUCUGCAUUCAUUUUCC